CUUGAACAUUAUAAGAGGUCCCGCCUGCCCAGUGACUCUGUUCAACGGCCGCGGUAUCCUAACCGUGCGAAGGUAGCGUAAUCACUUGUUCUUUAAAUAAGGACUAGUAUGAAUGGCACCACGAGGGUUAUACUGUCUCCCUCUUUUAAUCAGUGAAACUAAUCUCCCCGUGAAGAAGCGUGGAUAAUACUAUAAGACGAGAAGACCCUAUGGAGCUUUAAACUAGUUUCCCAACAACCUCACCUCCUUUUUAAGCUUAUGCUUUUAAUAAUCAGUCCGGUUCUAUGGGAACAAGUUUUAGGUUGGGGUGACCACGGAGUAAAAAACAACCUCCGAGCUGUAAGGGACUACUCCCUGAACAACAAACUACAACUUUAUGUACCAAUAUAUUGACACCUAUUGACCCAAUAUUUUGAUCAACGAAC
This 425-nucleotide ribosomal RNA is filed under the name Pseudis paradoxa group sp. ABGD cluster 11. RNAcentral's name for it is "partial large subunit ribosomal RNA". It matches the Rfam family "Bacterial large subunit ribosomal RNA", at positions 1834 to 2457 of the family's 2925-position model. Lineage: Eukaryota; Metazoa; Chordata; Amphibia; Anura; Hylidae. The record is from RNAcentral.